Molecule: ribosomal RNA, 497 nt
Filed under: uncultured bacterium
Lineage: Bacteria
Description: partial 16S ribosomal RNA
Rfam family: Bacterial small subunit ribosomal RNA
Source: RNAcentral
GAUGAACGCUGGCGGCGUGCCUAAUACAUGCAAGUCGAGCGAACAGAUGAGGAGCUUGCUCCUCUGACGUUAGCGUCGGACGGGCGAGUAACACGUGGAUAACCUACCUAUAAGACUGGGAUAACUUCGGGAAACCGGAGCUAAUACCGGAUAAUAUAUUGAACCGCAUGGUUCAAUAGUGAAAGACGGUUUUGCUGUCACUUAUAGAUGGAUCCGCGCCGCAUUAGCUAGUUGGUAAGGUAACGGCUUACCAAGGCAACGAUGCGUAGCCGACCUGAGAGGGUGAUCGGCCACACUGGAACUGAGACACGGUCCAGACUCCUACGGGAGGCAGCAGUAGGGAAUCUUCCGCAAUGGGCGAAAGCUUGACGGAGCAACGCCGCGUGAGUGAUGAAGGUCUUCGGAUCGUAAAACUCUGUUAUUAGGGAAGAACAAAUGUGUAAGUAACUAUGCACGUCUUGACGGUACCUAAUCAGAAAGCCACGGCUAACUACGUG